CUGCGGGGCCCUGGCUGGGAUAUCAUCAUAUACUGUAAGUUUGCAAUGAGAUACUACAGUAUAGAUGAUGUACUAGUCCGGGUCCCCACAGCUCUGGAGCCAGAUGAG
RNAcentral lists this microRNA precursor (108 nucleotides) under Mustela putorius furo (domestic ferret). RNAcentral's name for it is "microRNA 144 (ENSMPUG00000023539.1)". The stretch from base 8 to 85 matches the Rfam family "mir-144 microRNA precursor family". The record is from RNAcentral. Lineage: Eukaryota; Metazoa; Chordata; Mammalia; Carnivora; Mustelidae.